UCGAGCGCGCCCUUUCGGGGUGAGCGGCGGACGGGUUGAGUAACGCGUGGGAAUAUGCCCUUCUCUAAGGAAUAGCCUCUGGAAACGGAGAGUAAUACCUUAUACGCCCUUUUGGGGAAAGAUUUAUCGGAGAAGGAUUAGCCCGCGUUAGAUUAGGUAGUUGGUGGGGUAAUGGCCUACCAAGUCUACGAUCUAUAGCUGGUUUGAGAGGAUGAUCAGCAACACUGGGACUGAGACACGGCCCAGACUCCUACGGGAGGCAGCAGUAGGGAAUCUUAGACAAUGGGGGCAACCCUGAUCUAGCCAUGCCGCGUGUGUGAUGAAGGCCCUAGGGUCGUAAAGCACUUUCGCCAGAGAUGAUAAUGACAGUAUCUGGUAAAGAAACCCCGGCUAACUCCGUGCCAGCAGCCGCGGUAAUACGGAGGGGGUUAGCGUUGUUCGGAAUUACUGGGCGUAAAGCGCGCGUAGGCGGAUUGGAAAGUUGGGGGUGAAAUCCCGGGGCUCAACCCCGGAACUGCCUCCAAAACUGCCAGUCUAGAGUUCGAGAGAGGUGAGUGGAACUCCAAGUGUAGAGGUGAAAUUCGUAGAUAUUUGGAAGAACACCAGUGGCGAAGGCGGCUCACUGGCUCGAUACUGACGCUGAGGUGCGAAAGUGUGGGGAGCAAACAGGAUUAGAU
RNAcentral lists this ribosomal RNA (677 nucleotides) under uncultured bacterium. RNAcentral describes it as "bacterial SSU rRNA". It matches the Rfam family "Bacterial small subunit ribosomal RNA", at positions 62 to 783 of the family's 1533-position model. The record is from RNAcentral.